GUAUGGUAAAGGGUUUAUUAUGGUCACCUCAGUGUGGGCCUCUCAUGAUGUGCCUAUGCCACAGCGAACUGCAGCCUUGAACCAUUGCCCAGCCUCCUUAGCAUGGGCCAUAAGCACUGAAAGGGACUGCACAUUG
Nycticebus coucang (slow loris) is the source of this 136-nucleotide small nucleolar RNA. RefSeq annotates it as small nucleolar RNA SNORA42/SNORA80 family. The record is from RefSeq and is a predicted model, not a curated record. The transcript has a single exon. NCBI's taxonomy places the organism in Eukaryota, Metazoa, Chordata, Mammalia, Primates, Lorisidae.